UAGUCAUAGUUUUUGAGUCCAAAACCCCACAAAAGUACCCCAUGUCAGCACACCUAAAGUGUAUUCCUUUAUAAAAAAAAAAAUCAUCCCUCAAGGUUGAAGAAGCCAGCACAUCUCCACCAAGGCAGAUGGAACUUCAUUGAGGAUGCUGUAUAUCUAGACAAAGCCUUUUUUGUUGUCACUUCCUCUUUUAGAACACUGACUUCCACUCCAGUCAAGGAGAUGCUGUUCUGCUGAACAGUCUGACAACAGGCGUCAGCAUGAUCCUCCUGACUAUCUUAUCACUGUGGAUGACAGGAUCCACUCUUGCCACCAAUGUCAAUCAGACUCCCUCAGACAAAUUCAAGAACGCAAAUGAGACUCUUGAGCUCCAGUGCUUCCAUACCAUUCCAAGCUACAACAGGAUUCUGUGGUACAAACAGACUCAUGGUGGCACUCUGACCUUAUUGGGAUACAAUGUUGGGACAUCACCUGGUACUAUAGAGCCUGUAUUCAGUGGAAAAGUCAAAAUGGAUGGGGAUCCCAACACUAAUAAAAAGAACUCAUUAACCAUUUCUAAUCUGUUACUGAAUGACAGUGCAGUGUACUUCUGUGCAGCGUUUACACAGUGUUUCUGAUCACCUCCCUCUCAGCACAAUAACCCACCUCUUAUCUGCCGGCAAAACCUUGACACCUCAGACAACUUCACACCUGCAUAACGGCCCAAAACAAUGA
Molecule: non-coding RNA, 714 nt
Organism: Clupea harengus (Atlantic herring)
Lineage: Eukaryota; Metazoa; Chordata; Actinopteri; Clupeiformes; Clupeidae
Source: the annotation of a RefSeq genome assembly